UUCAGUUUUCUGACUGUGGACGUGGUGUGACCAGACACUUGGAGCCCCUACCAUCAUGACUCUACACUAUGAUGGACCACAGCUCCUCAAACUGGGAGCCUCCUAUAAGAUCUUUUUCAUCAGAUAAGUAGGCAUCCUCAGUGGCAUUUGUAAUAUGAAUGCUACCUACAAAGUGAAGAAGCACACUUUCCCAGUGCCUCAGCAGAGCUCCAA
Molecule: long non-coding RNA, 213 nt
Filed under: Rattus norvegicus (Norway rat)
Lineage: Eukaryota; Metazoa; Chordata; Mammalia; Rodentia; Muridae
Description: long non-coding RNA NONRATT002152
Source: RNAcentral